UCAAGGGUCAUCUGCAGCUGUUCCAGAAAGCCAGAGUCUCCCUCAUCCCGGGUGAAUGCAGACCUCUGCACUCCCUUCCAACCAGGACUACAUUAUGGAUUCUCCUGAGGAACACAAUCAACCAGCCAAGACUAAAGCCACAUCUGUGUCUAUGUCUACAUCCACACAUACAAAUAAACAUAUAACAAGGAGUUGGGUUAUGUGAUUAUGGAAGCUGAGAAGUCUCGUGAUGUCUGUCUGCAAAGAGAAGACCCUGGGAGGCAGUAGUACUGUGGCAAGAAGAUGAAGAUGUAGAACUCUCAGCUCCUCCUAUACUU
Mus musculus (house mouse) is the source of this 317-nucleotide long non-coding RNA. RefSeq annotates it as predicted gene, 41208. The record is from RefSeq and is a predicted model, not a curated record. The transcript is spliced from 3 exons. Lineage: Eukaryota; Metazoa; Chordata; Mammalia; Rodentia; Muridae.